CCUUCGAUAGCUCAGUUGGUAGAGCGGAGGACUGUAGACGUUAACGCUGAUAUCCUUAGGUCGCUGGUUCGAAUCCGGCUCGAAGGA
This is a non-coding RNA of Ameiurus melas (black bullhead), 87 nucleotides long. The record is from the annotation of a GenBank genome assembly. Lineage: Eukaryota; Metazoa; Chordata; Actinopteri; Siluriformes; Ictaluridae.